GCAAAACAUGGUUGUUUCGUGUUGCGCUUAUGGCUGUACUCAGCGUUUUGUCGGGGAAAUGGCAUUACAUUUCACGUGUUCUGUAAGGAUGAAAACCGAAGGCAGCUUUGGAUACAGG
Schistocerca cancellata (South American locust) is the source of this 118-nucleotide long non-coding RNA. RefSeq lists it as uncharacterized. The record is from RefSeq and is a predicted model, not a curated record. NCBI's taxonomy places the organism in Eukaryota, Metazoa, Arthropoda, Insecta, Orthoptera, Acrididae. The transcript has 2 exons.